UGGGGAAUAUUGGACAAUGGGGGAACCCUGAUCCAGCCAUGCCGCGUGUGUGAAGAAGGCCUUAUGGUUGUAAAGCACUUUAAGCGAGGAGGAGGCUACUGAGACUAAUACUCUUGGAUAGUGGACGUUACUCGCAGAAUAAGCACCGGCUAACUCUGUGCCAGCAGCCGCGGUAAUACAGAGGUGCAGAGGUCGUUAAUCGGAGUUACUGGGCAGUAAAGCGUGCGUAGGCUGCUUUUAAGUCGGAUGUGAAAUCCCCGAGCUUAACUUGGGAAUUGCAUUCGAUACUGGGAAGCUAGAGUAUGGGAGAGGAUGGUAGAAUUCCAGGUGUAGCGGUGAAAUGCGUAGAGAUCUGGAGGAAUACCGAUGGCGAAGGCAGCCAUCUGGCCUAAUACUGACGCUGAGGUACG
Molecule: ribosomal RNA, 410 nt
Filed under: uncultured bacterium
Lineage: Bacteria
Description: partial 16S ribosomal RNA
Rfam family: Bacterial small subunit ribosomal RNA
Source: RNAcentral